GGUGCUUGCAUCAUGAUUUACAUUUGAGUGAGUGGCGAACUGGUGAGUAACACGUGGGAAACCUGCCCAGAAGCGGGGGAUAACACCUGGAAACAGAUGCUAAUACCGCAUAACAACUUGGACCGCAUGGUCCGAGCUUGAAAGAUGGCUUCGGCUAUCACUUUUGGAUGGUCCCGCGGCGUAUUAGCUAGAUGGUGGGGUAACGGCUCACCAUGGCAAUGAUACGUAGCCGACCUGAGAGGGUAAUCGGCCACAUUGGGACUGAGACACGGCCCAAACUCCUACGGGAGGCAGCAGUAGGGAAUCUUCCACAAUGGACGAAAGUCUGAUGGAGCAACGCCGCGUGAGUGAAGAAGGGUUUCGGCUCGUAAAACUCUGUUGUUAAAGAAGAACAUAUCUGAGAGUAACUGUUCAGGUAUUGACGGUAUUUAACCAGAAAGCCACGGCUAACUACGUGCCAGCAGCCGCGGUAAUACGUAGGUGGCAAGCGUUGUCCGGAUUUAUUGGGCGUAAAGCGAGCGCAGGCGGUUUUUUAAGUCUGAUGUGAAAGCCUUCGGCUCAACCGAAGAAGUGCAUCGGAAACUGGGAAACUUGAGUGCAGAAGAGGACAGUGGAACUCCAUGUGUAGCGGUGAAAUGCGUAGAUAUAUGGAAGAACACCAGUGGCGAAGGCGGCUGUCUGGUCUGUAACUGACGCUGAGGCUCGAAAGUAUGGGUAGCAAACAGGAUUAGAUACCCUGGUAGUCCAUACCGUAAACGAUGAAUGCUAAGUGUUGGGAGGGUUUCCGCCCUUCAGUGCUGCAGCUAACGCAUUAAGCAUUCCGCCUGGGGGAGUACGGCCGCAAGGCUGAAACUCAAAGGAAUUGACGGGGGCCCGCACAAGCGGUGGAGCAUGU
This 895-nucleotide ribosomal RNA is filed under the name Lactiplantibacillus plantarum. RNAcentral describes it as "bacterial SSU rRNA". It matches the Rfam family "Bacterial small subunit ribosomal RNA", at positions 64 to 942 of the family's 1533-position model. Lineage: Bacteria; Bacillati; Bacillota; Bacilli; Lactobacillales; Lactobacillaceae. The record is from RNAcentral.